Molecule: long non-coding RNA, 1559 nt
Filed under: Sarcophilus harrisii (Tasmanian devil)
Lineage: Eukaryota; Metazoa; Chordata; Mammalia; Dasyuromorphia; Dasyuridae
Description: lncRNA (ENSSHAG00000027286.1)
Source: RNAcentral
CUACAGGCAAAUAAGCAUAAAGAUAAUUGCCAUUUUCUUUGUGGAGUAUGUGUUUUUGUAAGAUGCAAGAUCAAAAUCAUUAUUAUUAAUAAAGGGCAUAUAUGCACAUAAAGCACAGGCAUGGUGUCCUCCUAAUGCCUAUAAAACAUACCUACUCUUUUUCCCUUCUCAUGUCUCUAGGUCAAAAGACAGCAUAAUCACAGCAUAUAGCGCUAAUCCAAUUUCUCUAAAUAAGGAGGUAACAUUUUGGGGGAGGAAAUCUCCAUAUCAUCUUUUUGAAAAAGCACAAAAUUUGCUAAUCCCCCAUGGUCUCUAUAACAGUAGUACUGUGCCCCUCACUUAAACCUUUUGGCACAUCUUCAAAAAUAGGAUAAAUAGGUUCUUCGGGUGCCUGGAUCCUUCAGGGAACUGAGAAUUGGGGUCUGGGAGGAUGGGACUGGAAGGCAUAUAAAAACUGUUGCUUAACAUUUAAGUGAGCACCAAUAAUAUAUUAAGCGUGAACAAAAUAUAUAAAACAACCAGACACUCACUGCCCACUGGGCUGUUUCAAUGUGCAGAUGAACUAGAUUUCAGAAAUUCGGUUACGAUAAUUUUCUCAAGGGAAAAGAGUGAGGUCUAGACCGUUAGCGGUGUUGGAGUAGCAGCAUUUCGUCAAUCCUGGUCUUCUCCAGGGGAUCUCCUAAGGUGUUGCAGGAUAGGUUUUUCUGAUAUCUUGACUCCUGAGGACAGAUUGUUUUUGAGAGAAAGAGCUGGUUCUUUUCAGGGAACUUCCCCGCUGGCUAUUGCAGUCAAAUUGAGAGCAACCAGGAGGAAGUAGGGAGGUAAAGUUGGAAGAAGGGAAGAAAAGAUGGGAUUAAAAGGAGAGAUACAUGAUUGAAGCAAAGAGGCAACGAGAGGCAGAGAUUAGGAAGAAGCAUUUAUUAAGCUCCUACUAAAGAAGAAAUAAUAGGCAGGAGCAGAAUGGUGGCUAGACUUGGAAGGUGAGUAAAGAUAGUUAAUCUUGAAUGAAGACCGUGGGUGGCAGCGGUGAGUGUGGAGGGGGAGCCCGGAGUGAUUUAAGUGGGGAGGGCAGGAGUAGUACAGCAAGGGCAGGCAAAUGUUAAUGAUGUAGCGGAGCCAUCCCUAAGUCUCGAGGCUGUCGGUUCCGGCUCAGAGAGGGUAGAUUUGUGACUCUGUAGCUAGAUCGAUGCGAAAUUAAUCGUCCUGGUCCUGUUGACAGGUGUCCCCACACAACCCAACCCGCCUGCUAAUAUCAGCAUCCCUACAAACGAAGGGGCAGCCUUCGGAUGCAGGGGUGGGUUGGAGGAUGGGGGGUGGGGAGGGCUGCUCUCUUUCUCCUCUCCAUCCCCAGAACCCCGCCCCAAAACUCAGGCCACAGAAUGCGUAUUGUGAGGGAAUGAGAAAGCUAAGAAAAGGAAUCCCGGCCCAAAAAGUCUCCUCCGAAGCCCACUCGUCCGCCACGGCCAAAGGAUAUAAAGAGAUACAGGAGGGGGGGAUGGGCAGAUAUAAUAAAAUUACACCAACGAGCGAGAAAUUCAAACCUCCUCCUCGCCCUCCCC